UGGUCAUGUGUUUUUAUUCAAGGUAGAAAUCAUCAGUGUGAAGUAAUCUUUCCACUUUCUGCCCUCUUUAGAUUUCACCACCCAAUCCUUAGUCCUUUGGAGAGCAGUUUCCAGCUGGAAGUUGAUGUCCUGAAUCACCUCUUGAAGGCCCAGGCCCAGAUCUCUGAGUGGAAAUUCCUCCCAUCCCUAGUUAACUUGCACAGUGCUCACACCAAGCUGCAGACCUGGGGCCAGAUCUUUGAAAAGCAGCGGGAGACCAAGAAACAUCUGUUUGGAGGGCAAUCUCAGAAGGCCGUUCAGCCUCCACACCUUUUCCUUUGGCUGAUGAAACUCAAAACCAUGCUGCUGGCCAAAUUUAGCUUUUACUUUCAUGAGGCUCUGAGCCGUCAAACGACUGCUUCAGAAAUGAAAGCAUUGACUGCAAAAGCUAACCCAGACCUUUUUGGAAAGAUUUCCAGCUUCAUCAGGAAAUAUGAUGCUGCCAAUGUGUCCUUAAUUUUUGACAACCGAGGUUCAGAGAGCUUUCAGGGUCAUGGCUAUCACCACCCCCAUUCCUACAGAGAGGCCCCUAAGGGUGUGGACCAAUAUCCAGCUGUGGUGUCACUGCCCAGUGACAGGCCAGUCAUGCACUGGCCGAAUGUCAUCAUGAUCAUGACAGACCGCACGUCAGACCUGAACAGCUUGGAGAAGGUGGUCCAUUUCUAUGAUGACAAAGUGCAAAGCACCUACUUCCUGACCCGUCCAGAACCCCACUUUACCAUUGUUGUCAUUUUUGAGUCAAGGAAAUCCGAGAGAGACUCCCACUUUAUUUCCUUCCUCAAUGAGCUCUCGCUUGCCCUAAAGAACCCCAAAGUUUUUGCAAGUCUAAAACCUGGAUCCAAAGGUUAGCGAGGUAAUUUGCAGGAAAGAUUUUCAAGACUGGAAAUGGUGUUCUUAAUUGCUCUGAUGAUCAACAGUGGUCUGUGACUAGAAUUUACAUCUAUUCCUGCUUCUUUCAGAACUAAAUUAAAGACAAAUCCUCUAUAAUUGUGUUGCAUACUUUAUAAGCAAUUAAGGCUAUUUGAAUUAAGUACCCAAAGAGUAAUCUAGGAAGUGAUUUUGGGCUAUGUGUAUUUCUAUGAUACAGCAAAGCAGUUUCAGUAUUUUUUCUGAUUUUCCUGUAAUUCAUGUGGACUGAGUAUUUAUUGGCCUUUGAUUUUUCUCUUAUUAUUCUAAACAUUGUGUUCUAAUGCACUUCCAUAACCCUCUUUCCUCUCCUCCUUCAUGGAAGAGUAAUUGGGAUAAGAUACUAA
This is a non-coding RNA of Castor canadensis (American beaver), 1292 nucleotides long. The record is from RefSeq and is a predicted model, not a curated record. NCBI's taxonomy places the organism in Eukaryota, Metazoa, Chordata, Mammalia, Rodentia, Castoridae.